CGGCCUGUAGUGCAACGGCAGCACGUCUGACUCUGGUUCAGAAGGUUCAGGUUCGAAUCCUGGCAGGCCAG
Molecule: transfer RNA, 71 nt
Filed under: Nocardia ignorata
Lineage: Bacteria; Bacillati; Actinomycetota; Actinomycetes; Mycobacteriales; Nocardiaceae
Rfam family: tRNA
About the family: Transfer RNA (tRNA) molecules are approximately 80 nucleotides in length. Their secondary structure includes four short double-helical elements and three loops (D, anti-codon, and T loops).
Source: Rfam by way of RNAcentral